Molecule: ribosomal RNA, 563 nt
Filed under: uncultured Flavobacteriia bacterium
Lineage: Bacteria; Pseudomonadati; Bacteroidota; Flavobacteriia
Description: bacterial SSU rRNA
Rfam family: Bacterial small subunit ribosomal RNA
Source: RNAcentral
AGGGUUUGAUCAUGGCUCAGGAUGAACGCUAGCGGCAGGCUUAACACAUGCAAGUCGAGGGGUAGAUUUUCUUCGGAGAAUUGAGACCGGCGCACGGGUGCGUAACGCGUAUGCAACUUACCUUAUACUGGGGGAUAGCCCGGAGAAAUUCGGAUUAAUACCGCAUAUGCUCACAGUUUCGCAUGGAACAGUGAGGAAAGAUUUAUCGGUAUAAGAUAGGCAUGCGUCCUAUUAGCUUGUUGGUGAGGUAACGGCUCACCAAGGCGAUGAUAGGUAGGGGGCCUGAGAGGGUGGUCCCCCACACUGGUACUGAGACACGGACCAGACUCCUACGGGAGGCAGCAGUGAGGAAUAUUGGGCAAUGGAGGCAACUCUGACCCAGCUAUGCCGCGUGAAGGAUGAAGGUCCUCUGGAUUGUAAACUUCUUUUGUAUGGGGAUAAACUUUUCUACGUGUAGAAAACUGAAGGUACCAUACGAAUAAGGAUCGGCUAACUCCGUGCCAGCAGCCGCGGUAAUACGGAGGAUCCAAGCGUUAUCCGGAUUUCUUGGGUUUAAAGGGUCC